RNAcentral lists this ribosomal RNA (501 nucleotides) under uncultured bacterium. Its description in RNAcentral is "partial 16S ribosomal RNA". It matches the Rfam family "Bacterial small subunit ribosomal RNA", at positions 30 to 523 of the family's 1533-position model. The record is from RNAcentral.
AUUGAACGCUGGCGGCAGGCUUAACACAUGCGAGUCGAGCGGGGGAAGGUAGCUUGCUACCGGACCUAGCGGCGGACGGGUGAGUAAUGCUUAGGAAUCUGCCUAUUAGUGGGGGACAACAUCUCGAAAGGGAUGCUAAUACCGCAUACGUCCUACGGGAGAAAGCAGGGGAUCUUCGGACCUUGCGCUAAAUGAUGAGCCUAAGUCGGAUUAGCUAGUUGGAGGGGUAAAGGCCUACCAAGGCGACGAUCUGUAGCGGGUCUGAGAGGAUGAUCCGCCACACUGGGACUGAGACACGGCCCAGACUCCUACGGGAGGUAGCAGUGGGGAAUAUUGGACAAUGGGCGGAAGCCUGAUCCAGCCAUGCCGCGUGUGUGAAGAAGGCCUUAUGGUUGUAAAGCACUUUAAGCGAGGAGGAGGCUACUUAGAUUAAUACUCUAGGAUAGUGGACGUUACUCGCAGAAUAAGCACCGGCUAACUCUGUGCCAGCCGCCGCGGUAA